CUCCUUUGACGUUAGCGGCGGACGGGUGAGUAACACGUGGGUAACCUACCUAUAAGACUGGGAUAACUUCGGGAAACCGGAGCUAAUACCGUAUAAUAUUUCGAACCGCAUGGUUCGAUAGUGAAAGGUGGUUUUGCUAUCACUUAUAGAUGGACCCGCGCCGUAUUAGCUAGUUGGUAAGGUAACGGCUUACCAAGGCGACGAUACGUAGCCGACCUGAGAGGGUGAUCGGCCACACUGGAACUGAGACACGGUCCAGACUCCUACGGGAGGCAGCAGCC
This 281-nucleotide ribosomal RNA is filed under the name uncultured Staphylococcus sp. Its description in RNAcentral is "partial 16S ribosomal RNA". It matches the Rfam family "Bacterial small subunit ribosomal RNA", at positions 81 to 355 of the family's 1533-position model. Lineage: Bacteria; Bacillati; Bacillota; Bacilli; Caryophanales; Staphylococcaceae. The record is from RNAcentral.